GUAACUUCUAUAAAGUCAUAUAUAAUUUUAUACUGAGCAUUUUUCUGGGAUGCUUUUUCUUCUUUGUUUGCUAUUCUUUGCAUUGAGUAAGUACAGACCACUGUAUAAAUAACACUACUGCUUAGAUAGCAUUCCAGUAACAAUUUUUGUCCUAGGUUACCACCCAAAUGUUCUGAGCAGUAGCAUUAAUUUCUAUUUAUAGAAAACAGAUGAGAACCUGUAAGAGUGAAGGGUAAACCAAUUUAGUCUGUAAAAUAAAUGCAAAGUUGUACUUGAUAUGCUUAGUCCUUACUUUUCACGGCAUGUGAGGAAUGUCCUCAUGAUUUGUCAAAUACAUAUGGGGUGAUUUGGAAAAAGGCCAUCUACCUUGUGGCAUUAUACAAAUAGAGACUGCUGCUGCACUCAACAAUACACAAGACUAAAAGAAUUUGAUCCCCCUGAGAUUUACUUGGAAAUAUGAUUGUAAGGAAAUUGGAUUGCUUUGCUGAUAUUCAUUACUGCAGAGAAAAUGUGGUGAAAGGAUGAUCAAAAGUGAGACCAAGAAAAGGUCCACAGAGAACAAACCAGCUCUUGAAUAACGUAUUUUGAAAUAUGCUAUUAUACAGAGUAGACCUAAUUUGAAAAUGGCAGAUGGAGAUCACAUAAUUUAUGAGCUUCACAAAGAAGGAAAAGUAAUUCACAGCUCCACCUUCACUGCUCUGCUCAGCGAAGACCAAGGACAAAUGGCAGGAAAACCUGGAGAGUUUCGCUGCAGGUCAGGAGUAGCCACUAGGAGGGGCUGACUGCCUUGAAGAGACGGUAGGGGUUGAUUUACUAACAAUUCCAAUAAAAAGCGCUAAUAAAAU
Molecule: long non-coding RNA, 845 nt
Filed under: Parus major (Great Tit)
Lineage: Eukaryota; Metazoa; Chordata; Aves; Passeriformes; Paridae
Description: lncRNA (ENSPMJG00000010752.1)
Source: RNAcentral